Molecule: ribosomal RNA, 253 nt
Filed under: uncultured bacterium
Lineage: Bacteria
Description: partial 16S ribosomal RNA
Rfam family: Bacterial small subunit ribosomal RNA
Source: RNAcentral
UACGGGGGGAGCAAGCGUUGUUCGGAUUUACUGGGCGUAAAGGGUGCGUAGGCGGUCGGGUAAGUCUGAUGUGAAAUCUCACAGCUUAACUGUGAAACUGCAUUGGAUACUAUUCGGCUUGAGAGUUGGAGGGGGGACUGGAAUUCUUGGUGUAGCAGUGAAAUGCGUAGAUAUCAAGAGGAACACCAGUGGCGAAGGCGAGUCCCUGGACAACUUCUGACGCUGAGGCACGAAAGCUAGGGGAGCAAACAGG